UUUCCGCAGCUAGGACGCCAUACGCCCAGGUCUGCGGGUCGCCUACCUUGAUCUCGUAAUGCGUAGGUCGACGGUUCGAUUCCGUCAGGCG
This 91-nucleotide transfer RNA is filed under the name Micromonospora parathelypteridis. RNAcentral's name for it is "tRNA-OTHER". The record is from RNAcentral. Lineage: Bacteria; Bacillati; Actinomycetota; Actinomycetes; Micromonosporales; Micromonosporaceae.